RNAcentral lists this ribosomal RNA (369 nucleotides) under uncultured organism. Its description in RNAcentral is "bacterial SSU rRNA". It matches the Rfam family "Bacterial small subunit ribosomal RNA", at positions 526 to 896 of the family's 1533-position model. The record is from RNAcentral.
CGUAGGGAGCAAGCGUUGUCCGGAUUCACUGGGUGUAAAGGGUGCGCAGGCGGAUUUGUAAGUCAGAGGUGAAAUCUCACGGCUUAACCGUGAAACUGCCUUUGAUACUGCAGAUCUUGAGUUUGGGAGAGGUUGAUGGAAUUCCAGGUGUAGCGGUGAAAUGCGUAGAUAUCUGGAAGAACACCAGUGGCGAAGGCGGUCAACUGGCCCAUAACUGACGCUCAGGCACGAAAGCGUGGGUAGCAAACAGGAUUAGAUACCCUGGUAGUCCACGCCUUAAACGAUGAAUACUUGGUGUUGGUUCUUAAUGAAUCAGUGCCGGAGGUAACCUGGUAAGUAUUCCACCUGGGGAGUACGCUCGCAAGGGUG